RNAcentral lists this ribosomal RNA (442 nucleotides) under uncultured bacterium. Its description in RNAcentral is "partial 16S ribosomal RNA". It matches the Rfam family "Bacterial small subunit ribosomal RNA", at positions 338 to 795 of the family's 1533-position model. The record is from RNAcentral.
CCUACGGGUGGCAGCAGUAGGGAAUCUUUCACAAUGGGCGAAAGCCUGAUGCAGCAACGCCGCGUGCAGGAUGAAGGCCUUCGGGUUGUAAACUGCUUUUAUAAGCGAGAAAUAUGAUGGUAACUUAUGAAUAAGGAUCGGCUAACUACGUGCCAGCAGCCGCGGUCAUACGUAGGAUCCGAGCAUUAUCCGGAGUGACUGGGUGUAAAGAGUUGCGUAGGUGGCAUAAUAAGUAGCUAGUGAAAUCUGGUGGCUCAACCAUUCAGACUAUUAGGUAAACUGUUAAGCUCGAGACCGUUAGGGGUAACUGGAAUUUCUAGUGUAGGAGUGAAAUCCGUAGAUAUUAGAAGGAACACCAAUAGCGUAGGCAGGUUGCUGGGACGGUUCUGACACUAAGGCACGAAAGCGUAGGGAGCAAACGGGAUUAGAUACCCCAGUAGUC